This 702-nucleotide ribosomal RNA is filed under the name Triticum aestivum (bread wheat). Its description in RNAcentral is "partial small subunit ribosomal RNA". Lineage: Eukaryota; Viridiplantae; Streptophyta; Magnoliopsida; Poales; Poaceae. The record is from RNAcentral.
AUGAGACUCCAUUACUGUUCGCUCACCGUCGUCCUGCUCCCUUUCCUCCUCGCCUCAGCCACCGAUUUCGAUUUCUUCUACCAUGUCCAGAAGUGGCCCGGCUCGUUCUGCGACACGACGGGCGGCUGCUGCUUCCCCGGCAACGUGAAGCCGGCGGCGGACUUCGGCAUCCACGGCCUGUGGCCCAACUACGCCGCGUGCCGCCCCGCCGGCGAGACCAACAGGACCAGGUGCUGGCCGGACUUCUGCAACGCCACCAACACCUUCGCCCCGUCGCUGAUCAGCGACCUGAAGAGCGACAUGGACCGGAACUGGGGGACGCUGUCGUGCAGGAGCAACGACAGCACGGCCUUCUGGAGCCACGAGUGGAGCAGGCACGGCACCUGCUCCAACAUGGACCAGCACGCCUACUUCCUCGCGGCGCUCCGGUACAAGGCCCGCUUCAACCUCACCCGCAUCCUCCUCGACUCCGGGAUCGUGCCGUCGGAGGAGAGGACGUACUGCGUGGGCAGCAUCCGGGACGCCAUCGGGGAGGCGACGGGGUCGGCGCCCGGCAUCGAGUGCAACCGGAACGCCCGCAACGAGACGCAGCUGUACCAGGUGUACCAGUGCGUCGACCUCGCCGGCACCGGCCCCAUCCCCUGCCCGGCGGUGCCGAUGCAGGGCCGCUGCACCGACCAGGUCAAGUUCCCCGCGUUCUAG